This 84-nucleotide transfer RNA is filed under the name Eggerthellaceae bacterium. RNAcentral describes it as "tRNA-Leu". It matches the Rfam family "tRNA". Rfam says of the family: Transfer RNA (tRNA) molecules are approximately 80 nucleotides in length. Their secondary structure includes four short double-helical elements and three loops (D, anti-codon, and T loops). The record is from RNAcentral. Lineage: Bacteria; Bacillati; Actinomycetota; Coriobacteriia; Eggerthellales; Eggerthellaceae. RNAcentral also lists the same sequence under 1 other name.
GCCCGGGUGGCGGAACGGCAGACGCGGUGGUCUCAAAAACCUCUGUCGCAAGACGUGCGGGUUCAAAUCCCGCCCCGGGCACCA